This 253-nucleotide ribosomal RNA is filed under the name uncultured bacterium. RNAcentral describes it as "partial 16S ribosomal RNA". It matches the Rfam family "Bacterial small subunit ribosomal RNA", at positions 524 to 776 of the family's 1533-position model. The record is from RNAcentral.
UACAGAGGGUGCGAGCGUUAAUCGGAAUUACUGGGCGUAAAGCGUGCGUAGACGGUUAUUUAAGUCGGGUGUGAAAGCCCCGGGCUCAACCUGGGAAUUGCAUUCGAGACUGAAUAGCUAGAGUACGGUAGAGGGGGAUGGAAUUCCGCGUGUAGCAGUGAAAUGCGUAGAUAUGCGGAGGAACACCGAUGGCGAAGGCAAUCCCCUGGACCUGUACUGACGCUCAUGCACGAAAGCGUGGGGAGCAAACAGG